UUUAAUAUUUUUUUAUUAUAA
RNAcentral lists this transfer RNA (21 nucleotides) under Vespa affinis (lesser banded hornet). RNAcentral's name for it is "partial tRNA-Leu". The record is from RNAcentral. Lineage: Eukaryota; Metazoa; Arthropoda; Insecta; Hymenoptera; Vespidae.